RNAcentral lists this long non-coding RNA (202 nucleotides) under Malus domestica (apple). RNAcentral describes it as "long non-coding RNA (MDOM_LNC004038)". The record is from RNAcentral. Lineage: Eukaryota; Viridiplantae; Streptophyta; Magnoliopsida; Rosales; Rosaceae.
UCUUGACUUGCCUUAUCUGUCUCAUAGGUAGAUGUGGCAUCUUCUCUGGAAGUACUCUUCCUCUAUCCAGGGGUGGUAUCUUUAACUGGUGGAGAUGCACAAGGUAAUGUAUCAAUUUCACUUGAAGCUUACUUGUAGUUUCAGGCUUGGUCAAGCGCGAUACAAACCAUGUAGUAGGAGUCCCCCAAGUCGCCGAGCUAGG